CCUACGGGGGGCAGCAGUGGGGAAUAUUGCACAAUGGGGAAACCCUGAUGCAGCGAAGCCGCGUGAGUGAAGAAGUACUUCGUUAUGUAAAGCCCUAUCAGCAGGGAAGAAAAUGACGGUACCUGAAGAACUAGCCUCGCCUAACUCCGUGCAAGCGGCCGCGGUAAUACGGAGGAUGCGAGCGUUAUCCGGAUUUGUUGGGUUAAAAGGGUGCGCAGGCGGCCUGUUAAGUCAGCGGUAAAAGCCCGGGGCUCAACCCCGGCGAGCCGUUGAAACUGGCGGGCUGGAGUUGGAGAGAAGGACGCGGAAUGCGCGGUGUAGCGGUGAAAUGCUUAGAUAUCGCGCAGAACCCCGAUGGCGAAGGCAGCGUACCGGCUCCACACUGACGCUGAGGUACGAAAGCGUGGGUAGCGAACAGGAUUAGAUACCCUAGUAGUC
Molecule: ribosomal RNA, 438 nt
Filed under: uncultured bacterium
Lineage: Bacteria
Description: partial 16S ribosomal RNA
Rfam family: Bacterial small subunit ribosomal RNA
Source: RNAcentral